This 497-nucleotide ribosomal RNA is filed under the name uncultured bacterium. RNAcentral describes it as "partial 16S ribosomal RNA". It matches the Rfam family "Bacterial small subunit ribosomal RNA", at positions 28 to 507 of the family's 1533-position model. The record is from RNAcentral.
GAUGAACGCUGGCGGCGUGCCUAAUACAUGCAAGUCGAGCGAACAGAUGAGGAGCUUGCUCCUCUGACGUUAGCGGCGGACGGGUGAGUAACACGUGGAUAACCUACCUAUAAGACUGGGAUAACUUCGGGAAACCGGAGCUAAUACCGGAUAAUAUAUUGAACCGCAUGGUUCAAUAGUGAAAGACGGUUUUGCUGUCACUUAUAGAUGGAUCCGCGCCGCAUUAGCUAGUUGGUAAGGUAACGGCUUACCAAGGCGACGAUGCGUAGCCGACCUGAGAGGGGGAUCGGCCACACUGGAACUGAGACACGGUCCAGACUCCUACGGGAGGCAGCAGUAGGGAAUCUUCCGCAAUGGGCGAAAGCCUGACGGAGCAACGCCGCGUGAGUGAUGAAGGUCUUCGGAUCGUAAAACGCUGUUAUUAGGGAAGAACAAAUGUGUAAGUAACUAUGCACGUCUUGACGGUACCUAAUCAGAAAGCCACGGCUAACUACGUG